UUCUUCUUCCAUACCACCCUGAAUGCACCCAAUCUCUCCUGAUCUUGGAAACUAAGCAGGGCCGGGCCUGGUUAGAACUUGGAUGGGAGACCACCAUUCUUAGUAGGAAGAUGGUCAGG
RNAcentral lists this ribosomal RNA (119 nucleotides) under Microtus ochrogaster (prairie vole). Lineage: Eukaryota; Metazoa; Chordata; Mammalia; Rodentia; Cricetidae. The record is from RNAcentral.